AUCGUCUCCCUACGAGAGCUCCUUCAACUCUAUAUAUCCCGGAUCCAGUCCCGAUUUCGGGGGCUAUGGCGAGUACUCACAGCAUGUGGAGCGAAGUGCCAAUGUGAGCGGUGGUGAUACAGACAGGCCAUCGAAUUCCGGUCGUCGUGGCAAACAGUUGAACCUGGGACCCCUCUACAACAUUCCCACUCCGGCUCCUGGUGAGGCAGCUGGCAGUGAUCGGAUCACUUUCCCACGGGAUCGCAGGCGCAGGAGCGUUGAGGAUGGUGUGUGGGCGGGAGCAGCUCCUAAGGAGCAGCGUGCCUAUUAUGGAAACCGACCCGUGGAAAAGACCUGCCGCAUCAACGAAGUCUGCUGCCGUCGUCCACUGCGUCCCCAGGCUCCUCCCCAGCAAUUUGGUCGUUGUGGAGUGAGGAACGCCGCUGGAAUCACCGGUCGCAUCAAGAAUCCCGUCUACGUUGAUGGAGACAGUGAGUUCGGCGAGUAUCCCUGGCAUGUGGCCAUUCUGAAGAAGGAUCCCAAGGAGUCGAUCUACGCCUGCGGUGGCACGCUCAUCGAUGCCCAGCACAUCAUUUCCGCUGCCCAUUGCAUUAAAUCUCAAAAUGGCUUCGAUCUUCGUGUGCGUCUGGGCGAAUGGGAUGUCAACCACGAUGUGGAGUUCUUCCCCUACAUUGAACGCGAUGUGGUUUCCGUGCACAUCCAUCCCGAGUACUAUGCCGGCACUCUGGACAAUGAUCUGGCCGUUCUGAAACUGGAUCAACCCGUUGACUUCACCAAGAAUCCGCACAUUAGUCCCGCCUGUCUGCCCGACAAGUAUUCCGAUUUCACUGGAGCUCGUUGCUGGACAACUGGAUGGGGCAAGGAUGCCUUCGGCGAGCACGGAAAGUACCAGAACAUUCUGAAGGAGGUGGAUGUGCCAAUCCUAUCGCACCAACAGUGCGAGUCCCAGCUGAGGAACACGCGUCUGGGCUAUAGCUACAAACUGAAUCCCGGAUUUGUGUGCGCCGGCGGAGAGGAGGGCAAGGAUGCCUGCAAGGGUGAUGGCGGUGGCCCAUUGGUGUGCGACCGGAAUGGAGCCAUGCACGUGGUCGGAGUGGUGUCCUGGGGCAUUGGAUGUGGUCAGGUGAACGUUCCCGGCGUCUACGUUAAGGUCUCCGCCUACCUGCCCUGGAUCCAACAGAUCACCCAGAGCUAUCAAUGAUUAACGGAUCAGCAGACUGACAAGGAGGAGGUGACUGGCUACCAUGCGAAUAUCACCGGAUCCGUUCCGGUUGACACCUCCUCCGAUGAGUUCGUUUUCCACUUCUGACCGAAGCCAUCUUUCAACACUCUCGCAUUCCAACUACCGACCGAAUCGUUUCGAUAGUGGCAUUCGUCAUCGUAUUUAUCACUCUUAGUUAUUACGGAUGUCUCCUUGAAUACCUGUUAUAUUUUGUUAUAUAUAUGAUUCACUUCCCUUCACUUCACUUGUUGACCCACUCAUUAGCUACUCACAGUUGUUGCUCAAUUGAAGACGCACUGGCGUCGCGUCACCUUGUCACUUCUUUGAUAUUAAUUGUAACGCGAAUCUUGUACACCGAGUUCCGAUUUUGUCUUGUAAAAUAGUGUUUGUCAUAACUUAUUUAUUUAUGUAUUUGUAAUAAAUAAUUAUGUAUUUAAAUAAAAAAAAAAUAAUUUAUAU
Non-coding RNA from Drosophila melanogaster (fruit fly), 1681 nucleotides. The record is from Ensembl. Lineage: Eukaryota; Metazoa; Arthropoda; Insecta; Diptera; Drosophilidae.